This 583-nucleotide small RNA is filed under the name Pongo abelii (Sumatran orangutan). RNAcentral's name for it is "processed transcript". The record is from RNAcentral. Lineage: Eukaryota; Metazoa; Chordata; Mammalia; Primates; Hominidae.
GAGAGUGGCCCCUGGACCCAGCUGGGUGGAGAUGGAGAGGUCACAAGCUCUGGUGCCUCAAAAUGGCUCUGGUCCUCAGAUAUAGUUGGUUGCCACCCUGGGAGUGAGAGGAACCAGGAAAGCAGGUUUUGUACAUCAGGAAGAAGAAGAGGCUGGAGAAGCUACGCCACCAGCUCAUGCCCAUGUACAACUUCGACCCCACGGAGGAACAAGAUGAGUUGGAGCAGGAGCUGCUGGAGCAUGGGCGGGACGCCGCCUCCGUACAGGCUGCUACUUCUGUGCAGGCCAUGCAGGGCAAGACUACUCUGCCCUCCCAGGGCCCACUGCAGAGGCCCAGCCGGCUGGUGUUUACCGAUGUGGCCAAUGCCAUCCAUGCGUGAGUGGCCUGGGACAAGCCUGGACUUCUGAUAGAGACCCGCCACGGUGCCCACGGAGCUCCCCACUCCCUGAUUGUCAAGACCUACUCUGAAGAUCUGCCCUGCCAAGACACGAGAGGGCUGAGCCAGGCCCCAGCUGUUCUCCAGAUCCACCUGCUGACUCUAGACUCUAAGAGAGGGCCCUAGCCAGGCUGGACUUCUGACCA